CUAUCAUGCAAGUCGAACGCACUCUCGUUUAGAUUGAAGGAGCUUGCUCCUGAUUGAUAAACAUUUGAGUGAGUGGCGGACGGGUGAGUAACACGUGGGUAACCUGCCCUAAAGUGGGGGAUAACAUUUGGAAACAGAUGCUAAUACCGCAUAAAACCUAACACCGCAUGGUGUAGGGUUGAAAGAUGGUUUCGGCUAUCACUUUAGGAUGGACCCGCGGUGCAUUAGUUAGUUGGUGAGGUAAAGGCUCACCAAGACCGUGAUGCAUAGCCGACCUGAGAGGGUAAUCGGCCACACUGGGACUGAGACACGGCCCAGACUCCUACGGGAGGCAGCAGUAGGGAAUCUUCCACAAUGGACGAAAGUCUGAUGGAGCAACGCCGCGUGAGUGAAGAAGGUUUUCGGAUCGUAAAACUCUGUUGUUGGAGAAGAAUGUAUCUGAUAGUAACUGAUCAGGUAGUGACGGUAUCCAACCAGAAAGCCACGGCUAACUACGUGCCAGCAGCCGCGGUAAUACGUAGGUGGCAAGCGUUGUCCGGAUUUAUUGGGCGUAAAGCGAGCGCAGGCGGUUUCUUAAGUCUGAUGUGAAAGCCUUCGGCUCAACCGAAGAAGUGCAUCGGAAACUGGGAAACUUGAGUGCAGAAGAGGACAGUGGAACUCCAUGUGUAGCGGUGAAAUGCGUAGAUAUAUGGAAGAACACCAGUGGCGAAGGCGGCUGUCUGGUCUGUAACUGACGCUGAGGCUCGAAAGCAUGGGUAGCAAACAGGAUUAGAUACCCUGGUAGUCCAUGCCGUAAACGAUGAGUGCUAGGUGUUGGAGGGUUUCCGCCCUUCAGUGCCGCAGCUAACGCAUUAAGCACUCCGCCUGGGGAGUACGACCGCAAGGUUGAAACUCAAAGGAAUUGACGGGGGCCCGCACAAGCGGUGGAGCAUGUGGUUUAAUUCGAAGCAACGCGAAGAACCUUACCAGGUCUUGACAUCCUUUGACCACUCUAGAGAUAGAGCUUUCCCUUCGGGGACAAAGUGACAGGUGGUGCAUGGUUGUCGUCACCUCGUGUCGUGAGAUGUUGGGUUAAGUCCCGCAACGAGCGCAACCCUUAUUACUAGUUGCCAGCUUAAGUUGGGCACUCUAGGGAACUGCCGGGGACAAACCGGAAGAAGGGGGGACAACUCAAAUCUUCUGCCCCUUUAAACUGGGCUAACCCGGUUCAAAUGAAGGGAAAACAAGU
RNAcentral lists this ribosomal RNA (1228 nucleotides) under Latilactobacillus sakei. RNAcentral describes it as "bacterial SSU rRNA". It matches the Rfam family "Bacterial small subunit ribosomal RNA", at positions 50 to 1247 of the family's 1533-position model. The record is from RNAcentral. Lineage: Bacteria; Bacillati; Bacillota; Bacilli; Lactobacillales; Lactobacillaceae.